Molecule: ribosomal RNA, 280 nt
Filed under: uncultured prokaryote
Description: partial 16S ribosomal RNA
Rfam family: Bacterial small subunit ribosomal RNA
Source: RNAcentral
UACGUAGGGGCUAGCGUUAUCCGGAAUUACUGGGCGUAAAGGGUGCGUAGGUGGUUUCUUAAGCCAGAGGUGAAAGGCUACGGCUCAACCGUAGUAAGCCUUUGAAACUGGGAAACUUGAGUGCAGGAGAGGCAAGUGGAAUUCCUAGUGUAGCGGUGAAAUGCGUAGAUAUUUGGAGGAACACCAGUGGCGAAGGCGACUUUCUGGUCUGUAACUGACACUGAGGCUCGAAAGCGUGGGGAGCGAACAGGAUUAGAUACCCUGGUAGUCCCUGAGCGGG